GCGCCCGUAGCUCAGUGGAUAGAGCGCCGGCCUCCGGAGCCGGGUGCGGAGGUUCGACUCCUCUCGGGCGUACCA
RNAcentral lists this transfer RNA (75 nucleotides) under Syntrophomonadaceae bacterium. Its description in RNAcentral is "tRNA-Arg". It matches the Rfam family "tRNA". From Rfam's summary of the family: Transfer RNA (tRNA) molecules are approximately 80 nucleotides in length. Their secondary structure includes four short double-helical elements and three loops (D, anti-codon, and T loops). Lineage: Bacteria; Bacillati; Bacillota; Clostridia; Eubacteriales; Syntrophomonadaceae. The record is from RNAcentral.